Molecule: ribosomal RNA, 496 nt
Filed under: uncultured bacterium
Lineage: Bacteria
Description: partial 16S ribosomal RNA
Rfam family: Bacterial small subunit ribosomal RNA
Source: RNAcentral
AUUGAACGCUGGCGGAAUGCUUUACACAUGCAAGUCGAACGGUAGAGGGGGCAACCCCUCGAGAGUGGCGAACGGGUGAGUAAUAUAUCGGAACGUGCCCAGUCGUGGGGGAUAACGUAGCGAAAGUUACGCUAAUACCGCAUACGAUCUAAGGAUGAAAGCGGGGGAUCGCAAGACCUCGCGCGAUUGGAGCGGCCGAUAUCAGAUUAGGUAGUUGGUGGGGUAAAGGCUCACCAAGGCAACGAUCUGUAGCUGGUCUGAGAGGACGACCAGCCAGACUGGAACUGAGACACGGUGCAGACUCCUACGGGAGGCAGCAGUGGGGAAUUUUGGACAAUGGACGCAAGUCUGAUCCAGCCAUUCCGCGUGCAGGAUGAAGGCCCUCGGGUUGUAAACUGCUUUUGUACGGAACGAAAAGGUCUCUCUUAAUACGGGGGACUCAUGACGGUACCGUAAGAAUAAGCACCGGCUAACUACGUGCCAGCCGCCGCAGUAA